Salvia miltiorrhiza (redroot sage) is the source of this 1034-nucleotide long non-coding RNA. RefSeq lists it as uncharacterized. The record is from RefSeq and is a predicted model, not a curated record. Lineage: Eukaryota; Viridiplantae; Streptophyta; Magnoliopsida; Lamiales; Lamiaceae. The transcript is spliced from 2 exons.
CCCCACAAUACAUAACCUUUGAUAAUUUUCUGAUUUUUCCCAUGGCACCUGAAAUCUCCAAAUUCAGAAAUGACGUGGACGUCGGAACGCCCACGUUGAUUCACCGGACAGUUGGCCAAAACCUCCUAAUUAAUAGGAGACGUCGUCGUUUUCUAUGUAUUUUCCCAGAUUAAAAACAAUUUCCCCCUCCCCUUUGCGGCUGAGCCCUAAUUUUCGUCCUUUGAGAGAGCUUUCGUCUGAAAUCGCAGAACUUCAUCUGAAAUCGCGCAAGUGAGUGCAGGGAGAAGAGAGCUUCUAAAAUCGCAUAACCUAUCUCUACCAUUUUGCUGGAGCCCUAAUUUUUGCGAGAGCGAGCGAGCAUCUUCGGUGAAGGAGCGAGCGUCGAAGAGAGCAGGGAGCAUGAAACUCGAUUUGUAGGGAGAAUGGAGCAGGGACUCGAUUUGCAGGAACUGAAUAAAGCAGUGAAUCGAUUUUUAGGGUAUCUGUCUCUGAAACAAACAAAACUCUUCAAGCUCAAGGGAUUCAAUUAGGUUUGAGAAAUUGUGUGGGCAUGGUAUUCCAGCGAUUGAGGAAACCUCACACACUUAGAAGAAUCCGCAAAGAAGAUUCUACUAUUGUUCUCGAAUGAAGUCGAAUAAUUGUGGGUUAUGGCAAUGGGUUGAUCCUGAGCUAAGCGCAUACUACAAGUUGUGCUUCAAUAAUAUUAAAAACGAAAGGGAUAAAUUGGUAGAGCAACUGAACUGCAGAACCAUGCUGGUGGAAAUGAAGAAUGGAGAAAUCCGAGCUAAAGCUGAAGAAGUGGCUGCAAUAAAGCUGAGAUUUGAUGAGACAAAUGCCGAGCUUCAAGAUUUGAAGAAGAUUAAAGAAAAACUGGAAUGAAAAAUAAAGUAUAUGCAGUUGAUUGUAUUUUUUUUGUGCAUUUUAUGUUUUGGUUAAGUGUGUAUAGUUUUGGUGUAGUUGUAGUAGAAGUAAUAACUCUAUUGAUGUAAUGGAUGUUUUGUUGGUAUGAAGAAUGGGCAUUGCCCAUUGAUAAA